UGAUCAAAUGUUGGUGUUAAAUGAUCUUG
Molecule: non-coding RNA, 29 nt
Filed under: Rattus norvegicus (Norway rat)
Lineage: Eukaryota; Metazoa; Chordata; Mammalia; Rodentia; Muridae
Source: RNAcentral